CCUACGGGUGGCAGCAGUGAGGAAUAUUGGUCAAUGGACGAGAGUCUGAACCAGCCAAGUAGCGUGAAGGAUGACUGCCCUAUGGGUUGUAAACUUCUUUUAUAUGGGAAUAAAACGUUCCACGUGUGGGAUUUUGUAUGUACCAUAUGAAUAAGGAUCGGCUAACUCCGUGCCAGCAGCCGCGGUAAUACGGAGGAUCCGAGCGUGAUCCGGAUUUAUUGGGUUUAAAGGGAGCGUAGGUGGAUUGUUAAGUCAGUUGUGAAAGUUUGCGGCUCAACCGUAAAAUUGCAGUUGAAACUGGCAGUCUUGAGUACAGUAGAGGUGGGCGGAAUUCGUGGUGUAGCGGUGAAAUGCUUAGAUAUCACGAAGAACUCCGAUUGCGAAGGCAGUUCACUGGACUGCAACUGACACUGAGGCUCGAAAGUGUGGGUAUCAAACAGGAUUAGAUACCCCAGUAGUC
This 460-nucleotide ribosomal RNA is filed under the name uncultured bacterium. RNAcentral's name for it is "partial 16S ribosomal RNA". It matches the Rfam family "Bacterial small subunit ribosomal RNA", at positions 338 to 795 of the family's 1533-position model. The record is from RNAcentral.